RNAcentral lists this ribosomal RNA (253 nucleotides) under uncultured bacterium. RNAcentral's name for it is "partial 16S ribosomal RNA". It matches the Rfam family "Bacterial small subunit ribosomal RNA", at positions 524 to 776 of the family's 1533-position model. The record is from RNAcentral.
UACGAAAGGGGCUAGCGUUGUUCGGAAUUACUGGGCGUAAAGCGCACGUAGGCGGCCUUGUAAGUUGGGAGUAAAAUCCCGGGGCUCAACUCCGGAACUGCCUUCAAGACUGCAAAGCUAGAGGACGCGAGAGGUUAGCGGAAUUCCGAGUGUAGAGGUGAAAUUCGUAGAUAUUCGGAAGAACACCAGUGGCGAAGGCGGCUAACUGGCGCGUUUCUGACGCUGAGGUGCGAAAGCGUGGGGAGCAAACAGG